Molecule: long non-coding RNA, 569 nt
Organism: Neodiprion virginianus
Lineage: Eukaryota; Metazoa; Arthropoda; Insecta; Hymenoptera; Diprionidae
Exons: 3
Source: RefSeq, a predicted model, not a curated record
ACAUCUGUGACUUCGCAAGAUCUCGUCUAUCUCCGCCUAGUCCAAGGGAACGUGACCAGAUUCAACGAACAUCGUCAGGAUCGGUGGUUUGGCCAGCGACCAUUGUCGACAAAAUAUAUAUCUAACCAACAGACAUCAUCACCCCAGAGAUACCGAAAGAGCCAACGGGGAAUCAUCUAACCAACAACACUAGAUGAGUAAAAGGAGCCAUUUUAUUCGACGAGAGAUCGAAGAAUAUCCUACAAAAAAAAACAUGCCGAUAAUACCAGAGGAAAGAGAGAACGACAGAACCCGGCGUAGGGAGAUGGAAGAAGAACGAGCGGAUUUGGAUCGACAACGGCGCGAGCUUAAGAAGCUACGCAAUGAGCUUAGCGCUCGAGAGACCGCACAACAACAAAGGUUGAUCUUAAAAUUCCGAAAUUUCACGAUCAGGUCGAUAGAAAUCCGGUAGAGUUCUUGGAGGAGGUGGAGAGAUUUUUUAAAAUAAAAAAUAUAUCAAAUGAAAGAAAAAUAGUGGUGAUAGAGCAGUCGUUGGAGGGAGGAGCGAGUUUAUGGUUCGAGACUAAAGC